UACAUGGGGUGCAAACGUUGCUCGGAAUUAUUGGGCGUAAAGCGCGCGUAGGCGGUUACUCAAGUCGGAUGUGAAAGCCCUCGGCUUAACUGAGGAAGUGCACCCGAAACUGAGUAGCUAGAGUACUAAAGAGGGUCGCGGAAUUCCCGGUGUAGAGGUGAAAUUCGUAGAUAUCUGGAGGAACACCGGUGGCGAAGGCGGCAUCCUGGACCGGUAUUGACGCUGAGGCGCGAAAGCCAGGGGAGCAAACGGG
This 253-nucleotide ribosomal RNA is filed under the name uncultured bacterium. Its description in RNAcentral is "partial 16S ribosomal RNA". It matches the Rfam family "Bacterial small subunit ribosomal RNA", at positions 524 to 776 of the family's 1533-position model. The record is from RNAcentral.